AACGAACGCUGGCGGCGUGCCUAACACAUGCAAGUCGAGGGAGAAAGGGGCUUCGGCUCCUGAGUAAACCGGCGCACGGGUGAGUAACACGUAGGUAACGUACCCUUGAGUCUGGGAUAACCAGUCGAAAGACUGGCUAAUACCAGAUACGACUGCGGGAGCUCAGACUUCUGCAGUGAAAGAUGGCCUCUACUUGUAAGCUAUCACUCAUGGAUCGGCCUGCGCACCAUUAGCUAGUUGGUGAGGUAAAGCUCACCAAGGCUGAGAUGGUUAGCUGGUCUGAGAGGAUGGCCAGCCACACUGGGACUGAGACACGGCCCAGACUCCUACGGGAGCAGCAGUGGGAAUAUUGCGCAAUGGGCGAAAGCCUGACGCAGCGACGCCGCGUGGGUGAUGAAGGCC
This 402-nucleotide ribosomal RNA is filed under the name uncultured bacterium. RNAcentral's name for it is "bacterial SSU rRNA". It matches the Rfam family "Bacterial small subunit ribosomal RNA", at positions 29 to 416 of the family's 1533-position model. The record is from RNAcentral.